GACGAACGCUGGCGGCGUGCCUAAUACAUGCAAGUUGAGCGCUGAAGGUUGGUACUUGUACCAACUGGAUGAGCAGCGAACGGGUGAGUAACGCGUGGGGAAUCUGCCUUUGAGCGGGGGACAACAUUUGGAAACGAACGCUAAUACCGCAUAAAAACUUUAAACACAAGUUUUAAGUUUGAAAGAUGCAAUUGCAUCACUCAAAGAUGAUCCCGCGUUGUAUUAGCUAGUUGGUGAGGUAAAGGCUCACCAAGGCGAUGAUACAUAGCCGACCUGAGAGGGUGAUCGGCCACAUUGGGACUGAGACACGGCCCAAACUCCUACGGGAGGCAGCAGUAGGGAAUCUUCGGCAAUGGACGAAAGUCUGACCGAGCAACGCCGCGUGAGUGAAGAAGGGUUUCGGAUCGUAAAACUCUGUUGGUAGAGAAGAACGUUGGUGAGAGUGGAAAGCUCAUCAAGUGACGGUAACUACACAGAAAGGGACGGCUAACUACGUG
Molecule: ribosomal RNA, 497 nt
Filed under: uncultured bacterium
Lineage: Bacteria
Description: partial 16S ribosomal RNA
Rfam family: Bacterial small subunit ribosomal RNA
Source: RNAcentral